AUGCAAAGGCAAUUUGGUUUUUACCUGUAUUUUUUGACAGAUUUUAAGCUGUAUUAUUUUUAUAAAGCUGUAUUUUAUUUAUUAAUAAAGCCGUAUUUUAAGAAGGCUUGCUAUUUUAUUCAAGUAUCUGUGUUGUGGUGCCCCCAGAAUGCAAUUUUUUACCAUAUAAGAAUCUUUUUGGUAUGUUGCUCACCUUUUUUAUGUCAAAAUGGAGAUUAUACUCCAGAGAAGACAAUCUCACUGCUUGGGAAAGUUUCACCUAUUAUUGAAGUUGCUGAUGGACAGCAGGAAACGAACCAUACUCAUAAAGUUUAUCACAUCUGA
Molecule: non-coding RNA, 324 nt
Organism: Vicia faba (fava bean)
Lineage: Eukaryota; Viridiplantae; Streptophyta; Magnoliopsida; Fabales; Fabaceae
Source: the annotation of a GenBank genome assembly